UUUAGGGUUAUCGCCAAAACCAAAAACAACACAACCUCUCACCAAAACCCCCCCAAUCUCUCCAUAGCCGUUCUCUAUCUCUCUCUGUCCGAAAUUCAAACCCUAAAACCAAAAUGAGAAAAGGAGCCAAACGCAAGACCCGGUCCGCCUCGACGGAGGAGCCCACCACCACCACAGCCAAGCCCAAAGCCACCGCCACACGCGCCAAGCGCGUCAAGGCCACGCAGCCGGAGCCGGAGUACGUGGAGGAGCAGCGCAACCUUCAGGAUCUAUGGAAGGCGCCGUUCCCGAUCGGAACCGAGCUCGAUCUCCUCGACUCGCUCUACAAAUACGACUGGGACUUCUCGAAUCUCGAGAAGGAAUUCGAAGAAGAAGGCGGCAAAUUCCACGGCAUCGGCGACAACAAGGUCUACCUCUUCGCGCAGACGGAGACGCGGAACCAGUGGGACCUGGUCCUGAUCCCGACGCUCGUCGCGGUCGUGGCGCCGCGGCCGCCGUCGGAUGAGAUCGCGAUUCGGUCGGUGCAGAAAGAGCAGGACGAGAAGGUCGUGGUGCCGAUGAGGUCGAUGAAGAUGGAUUGGAUCCCCUACAUUCCUCUGGAGCAGAGAGAAGGGUGGAAUUCGGAGCGAGCUUCGAAAUCGAAAGCGAAAUCGGGACCGCAUUUGCCGCCGAUUUUCGUGCUGGGAUGCACGCAGAGGAAGGCGAGCUUGAAGCAGAUGAAGGAGGACCGUUGGAUGAAGUUCCAGUACUGUAUGCCCUACUUGCUGAACCCGAAUGAGGAGGAGAAGGAGCAGAUCACUGUGGUGGAUGUGCUCUUCCCGCAGGAGCCGAAGGCGCCGCUGUUCGUGCAGUUUGAUUGGGACAUGGACGAGGUGGAGGAGUACACUGAUGAGCUGAUCGCCGCCGAGGAGUUGAGUGCGGAGCAGAAGGAGGAGUUCAUGGUGUUUUUGAAGGAGGAGGUGAAGAAGGCGAAGAGGAAGAAUAGGGAGGAGAGGGAGGCGAAGAAGAAGCUCAUGGAGGAUCCAAAGUUCCAGGAGGCCAAAGCUUAUUUUGAGAAUUUAAGGAUUUAUAAGGUGUAUCCGGCACAAUCGCCGAGCACUCCUGUGGUGGAGAUGAAGACUAAGUAUAUCAAUUACUACUACGGACAAGCGCACGAGAUUAUAUGAGCUUGAGAUGGGGAAGUAGGUGCCUGGCUUUUGGCCUGAUGAGGUUUAUGUUUAGAAGGUGUCUGUGUUACCAGAUGACCGGCUAUGGAAAUGCGGAUCACUUCUGAAUUCAGGUACUGGUAGACUGUAUCCCUACCUUAACGCCCUUAGAAGUUCCUCUUCAUGACCUUGACCUGUGUAGAUGAUAAUCAGGCCUGCUUACAUGACAUUGGAUUUGAUCCUUUUCAGCGCAAUGCAACUAUACUACUGAACUAUUUGUGGAACCUUGCUUGGUUUUGUUGGUAGUCUAUGCCCAACAGGUUCCGGAGGUGGUGGAGUUUAGGAAGUAUGUUCGAGUUCUUCUUCCGCCACAACCAGUACAAUUUAUGUUUAAAAAUGGUAACAAGUAUAUGCUAGAUGAAGUGUGUGCUUGUUAGGUCGUGUACCUGAUCUUGUGAAGAAAACUAGGAGACAUCAAAUUAUCCCAAGCAUCAAAAUAUUUGAUACAUUCCCAAAAGUCCUCCAUCAGAUAUGUAGCGAAGGCUUGUUUCUCGAGAGCAUUCCCUUGUGGGUGCCCAAGUGCUUUUGCCUUUGUUAAGGCUCAAGUGUUAGGUGCUGUUUCUUCUGAGGCUUGUUUCUCGAGAGCAUUCUCCAUGGGUGCCUUAGUGCUUUCGCCUUUGUUCAGGCUCGAGUGUUUAUGCUGUUUCUUUCCUGGAUCGCUGUUCUAAUCCAUCUGGUGUUGUUCAGCUUCCUUCCCCUGAAUUGCUGAUGUAAAAAACUUUGUUGAAGAAUGAAUUAGACUGCUUUGUGAUUGAUGAGAGGUGUGAGCGAUAAACACUUUGUCUCUGUAUUAUCUAGAUCUUUACAGUAUUGAUACAACUCAGAUGAAAUAAGCCUGGGAAGACAAUGCUACACAUUUGAAGUCAAUUCACAGGACAGCAAUGACUUCUUGAAUAGUUCUUGUAUGUUCUAUACUUGAAGCCUUAGAGGAGUAGGAUCUAAUCUGAUUUAUGGACAUAAAAUCA
Argentina anserina (silverweed cinquefoil) is the source of this 2170-nucleotide RNA transcript. It is a transcript of the gene named protein HEAT INTOLERANT 4-like, with no coding region annotated. The record is from RefSeq and is a predicted model, not a curated record. The transcript is spliced from 3 exons. Lineage: Eukaryota; Viridiplantae; Streptophyta; Magnoliopsida; Rosales; Rosaceae.